This 252-nucleotide ribosomal RNA is filed under the name uncultured prokaryote. Its description in RNAcentral is "partial 16S ribosomal RNA". It matches the Rfam family "Bacterial small subunit ribosomal RNA", at positions 526 to 777 of the family's 1533-position model. The record is from RNAcentral.
CGAAGGGUGCAAACGUUGCUCGGAAUUAUUGGGCGUAAAGCGCACGUAGGCGGCAUUGCAAGUCGGAUGUGAAAUCCCUCGGCUUAACCAAGGAAGUGCAUCCGAAACUGCAGUGCUUGAGUACUUAAGAGGAUCGCGGAAUUCCCGGUGUAGAGGUGAAAUGCGUAGAGAUCGGGAGGAACACCGGCGGCGAAGGCGGCUGCCUGAACAAGUCCUGACGCUGAGGCGCGAAAGCUAGGGGAGCAAACAGGA